GCCGAAAGGUUUAUUUCAGAAAAUAUUCAUCAUACAUACAUACAAAUAAUCUCCCUUUUCUCUACCAAAUUGCCAAACUGAGCUGGAGUCGCCGCCGUUCUGAACACUGAAGUGCAUGCCCUCUCUGCUCUAAUCGCUAAUGGCGGCCAUUUCUUCAAUCGCCUCCGCUCCUUUCCGUUCCCAGCUUCUCCCUUCCUCCAUUUCCACUUCUUCUCCUUCCACCGCUUUCUUAUUCUCCAAACCUACUUCUCCUUCCAUCCUCUC
Molecule: long non-coding RNA, 264 nt
Filed under: Linum usitatissimum (flax)
Lineage: Eukaryota; Viridiplantae; Streptophyta; Magnoliopsida; Malpighiales; Linaceae
Description: long non-coding RNA (LUSI_LNC003136)
Source: RNAcentral